The submitters of this non-coding RNA (170 nucleotides) gave its source as unclassified sequences. The record is from Rfam.
UCCGUCAACUAAUGGGCUAUUAUAUUUUUGCGCAGAACUAAAACUGCAUAAGUGACGGAGUCCUUGAUAGAAGCAUUUAGCUCCAUUAAAUGUGGUGAAAACCUGCAAAGUACAUAGGGUUAAAAAAUUUAGCAUUUAACUGUUAGGAAUGGAGCUCCUAACAGUUUUUU